This 350-nucleotide ribosomal RNA is filed under the name uncultured bacterium. RNAcentral describes it as "bacterial SSU rRNA". It matches the Rfam family "Bacterial small subunit ribosomal RNA", at positions 71 to 422 of the family's 1533-position model. The record is from RNAcentral.
GCACGGGGGCAACCCUGGUGGCGAGUGGCGAACGGGUGAGUAAUGCAUCGGAACGUGCCCAGUAGUGGGGGAUAACUAGUCGAAAGAUUAGCUAAUACCGCAUACGACCUAUGGGUGAAAGCGGGGGACCUUUACCGGCCUCGCGCUAUCGGAGCGGCCGAUGUCUGAUUAGCUAGUUGGCGGGGUAAAAGCCCACCAAGGCGACGAUCAGUAGCUGGUCUGAGAGGACGACCAGCCACACUGGGACUGAGACACGGCCCAGACUCCUACGGGAGGCAGCAGUGGGGAAUUUUGGACAAUGGGCGCAAGCCUGAUCCAGCCAUACCGCGUGCGGGAAGAAGGCCUUCGGG